RNAcentral lists this ribosomal RNA (253 nucleotides) under uncultured bacterium. RNAcentral describes it as "partial 16S ribosomal RNA". It matches the Rfam family "Bacterial small subunit ribosomal RNA", at positions 524 to 776 of the family's 1533-position model. The record is from RNAcentral.
GACGUAGGAGGCGAGCGUUGUCCGGAUUCAUUGGGCGUAAAGAGCGCGCAGGCGGCUUGGUAAGUCGGAUGUGAAAUCCCGAGGCUCAACCUCGGGUCUGCAUCCGAUACUGCCCGGCUAAAGGUAGGUAGGGGAGAUCGGAAUUCCUGGUGUAGCGGUGAAAUGCGCAGAUAUCAGGAGGAACACCGGUGGCGAAGGCGGAUCUCUGGGCCUUACCUGACGCUCAGGCGCGAAAGCUAGGGGAGCGAACUGG